GAUGAACGCUGGCGGCGUGCCUAAUACAUGCAAGUCGAGCGAACACACGAUGAGCUUACUACUCGCGCGUUAGCGGCGGAUGUGUCAGUAACACGUCGAUAACCUAGCUUAACUACUCGGAUGAGCUCCGGAAACCGCAUCCAAUCCCGGAUAAUAUACUGAACCUCAUGGUUCCUUAGUGGAAGACGGCUUUGCUUUCACUUAUAGAUGGAUCCGCGCCGCAGUAGCUAGUUGGUAAGGUAACGGCUUACCAAGGCAACGAUGCGUAGCCGACCUGAGAGGGUGAUCGGCCACACUGGAACUGAGACACGGUCCAGACUCCUACGGGAGGCAGCAGUAGGGAAUCUUCCGCAAUGGGCGAAAGCCUGACGGAGCAACGCCGCGUGAGUGAUGAAGGUCUUCGGAUCGUAAAACUCUGUUAUUAGGGAAGAACAAAUGUGUAAGUAACUAUGCACGUCUUGACGGUACCUAAUCAGAAAGCCACGGCUAACUACGUG
This 497-nucleotide ribosomal RNA is filed under the name uncultured bacterium. RNAcentral's name for it is "partial 16S ribosomal RNA". It matches the Rfam family "Bacterial small subunit ribosomal RNA", at positions 28 to 507 of the family's 1533-position model. The record is from RNAcentral.